This 373-nucleotide ribosomal RNA is filed under the name uncultured bacterium. Its description in RNAcentral is "bacterial SSU rRNA". It matches the Rfam family "Bacterial small subunit ribosomal RNA", at positions 28 to 404 of the family's 1533-position model. The record is from RNAcentral.
GACGAACGCUGGCGGCGUGCUUAACACAUGCAAGUCGAGCGGUAAGGCCCUUCGGGUACGACGAGCGGCGAACGGGUGAGUAACACGUGGGUGACCUGCCUUUAGCUCUGGGAUAAGCCUGGGAAACUGGGUCUAAUACCGGAUAUGACCUCAUGACGCAUGUUGUGGGGUGGAAAGCCUUGUGCGGCUAGAGAUGGGCCCGCGGCCUAUCAGCUUGUUGGUGGGGUGAUGGCCACCAAGGCGACGACGGGUAGCCGGCCUGAGAGGGCGACCGGCCACACCGGGACGUGAGACACGGCCCAGACUCCUACGGGAGGCAGCAGUGGGGAAUCUUGCGCAAUGGGCGAAAGCCUGACGCAGCGACGCCGCGUGA